UUGUUGGUAAAUCUCGUGCCAGCCACCGCGGUUAUACGAGAGACCCUAGUUGAUUAAUAACGGCGUAAGAGUGGUUAAAAUUAAACAAAUACUAAAGCUAAAGAUCUUCCUAGCCGUCGUACGCACCUCGAAGACUUGAAACCCAGACACGAAAGUAGCUUUACUAAAUUUGACCCCACGAAAGCUAAGAAACAAACUAGGAUUAGAUACCCCACUA
This 217-nucleotide ribosomal RNA is filed under the name Odontocharacidium aphanes. Its description in RNAcentral is "partial small subunit ribosomal RNA". The record is from RNAcentral. Lineage: Eukaryota; Metazoa; Chordata; Actinopteri; Characiformes; Crenuchidae.